This 407-nucleotide ribosomal RNA is filed under the name uncultured bacterium. RNAcentral describes it as "partial 16S ribosomal RNA". It matches the Rfam family "Bacterial small subunit ribosomal RNA", at positions 28 to 526 of the family's 1533-position model. The record is from RNAcentral.
GACGAACGCUGGCGGCGUGCCUAAUACAUGCAAGUAGGACGCAGUUGCGAACGGGUGAGUAACGCGUAGGUAACUACCUAUUAGAGGGGGAUAACUAUUGGAAACGAUAGCUAAUACCGCAUACUAGUAGAUGGACCUGCGUUGUAUUAGCUAGUAGGUAGGGUAAUGGCCUACCUAGGCAACGAAUCAUAGCCGACCUGGGGAGGUGAGCGGCACAAAUGGAGCUGAGGAACGGGCCAAAUCCCUACGGGAGGGAACAGGGGGGGAUCAUCGGCAAUGGGGGGAACCCUGACCGAGCAAAGCCGCGUGAGUGAAAAAGGUUUUCGGAUCGUAAAGCUCUGUUGUUUAGGAAACGGUACUUAACCAGAAAGGGACGGCUAACUACGUGCCAGCAGCCGCGGUAAUUC